This 594-nucleotide long non-coding RNA is filed under the name Parus major (Great Tit). RNAcentral's name for it is "lncRNA (ENSPMJG00000013979.1)". The record is from RNAcentral. Lineage: Eukaryota; Metazoa; Chordata; Aves; Passeriformes; Paridae.
GUCAAUGACCUGGAGAUACAUUCUAUGUUUAGGGAGUUGGCUGUAUUUAAAUGGGGCUUAAAGUUGUCACACCUGUAAUUGAACUGUUUCAAUGCAUUUUGUCUGCACAAUCAGGUUCCAGGUAAUCUAUGGUCCUUCAAAACAAGUAAGAAAGUGCAUGCAAUUCCUUAAGAGGAGCUUGCUAUAUAUAUGAAAGCAGAUUCAGGAUGUUAUUUCCAUUACUUAAUUGCUUUAGACCUUUGUUUUCUCUGUCCCUCCUUAAAUUUUUACAAGUUAUCUCGAGGAAGGACCUUCCAGUGCUGUUCCUGGCAGAGGGAUACAAUGAGAGCUGGCAUGAUUUCAUGUGCCCACCACUGACAUCGACCCUCAGCACCCUGAGCAUGACAAGAGAUAUGUGCAAAGCCCAGGAGCUCCAUCCAACCUACCCCAAUCCCACUCCUCCUGCCCCAGAACUGGGGAGCACCUGAUGCCACCCAUAGGAGCUGGAAAAUGAGGAAAAAGGACAUUGCAGCUGCUUUGCUGGCCUGGCUGGCUGCUGAGCCCUGCUGCAUCUUGGAAAUUUCCCCAAGGGUUUGCACAGCUCGGAUAUUUCAG